GCGCUGAUAGCUCAGCUGGAUAGAGCGUCUGGCUACGGACCAGAAGGUCGGGUGUUCGAAUCAUCUUCAGCGCGCCA
This 77-nucleotide transfer RNA is filed under the name Clostridia bacterium. RNAcentral's name for it is "tRNA-Arg". It matches the Rfam family "tRNA". Rfam says of the family: Transfer RNA (tRNA) molecules are approximately 80 nucleotides in length. Their secondary structure includes four short double-helical elements and three loops (D, anti-codon, and T loops). Further hydrogen bonds mediate the characteristic L-shaped molecular structure. tRNAs have two regions of fundamental functional importance: the anti-codon, which is responsible for specific mRNA codon recognition, and the 3' end, to which the tRNAs corresponding amino acid is attached (by aminoacyl-tRNA synthetases). tRNAs cope with the degeneracy of the genetic code in two manners: having more than one tRNA (with a specific anti-codon) for a particular amino acid; and 'wobble' base-pairing, i.e. permitting non-standard base-pairing at the 3rd anti-codon position. Lineage: Bacteria; Bacillati; Bacillota; Clostridia. RNAcentral also lists the same sequence under 1 other name. The record is from RNAcentral.